AACGAACGCUGGCGGCAUGCCUAACACAUGCAAGUCGAACGAGACCUUCGGGUCUAGUGGCGCAUGGGUGCGUAACGCGUGGGAACCUGCCCUUAGGUUCGGAAUAACUCCCCGAAAGGGGUGCUAAUACCGGAUAAUGUCUUCGGACCAAAGAUUUAUCGCCUUUGGAUGGGCCCGCGUUGGAUUAGCUAGUUGGUAGGGUAAAAGCCUACCAAGGCGACGAUCCAUAGCUGGUCUGAGAGGAUGAUCAGCCACACUGGGACUGAGACACGGCCCAGACUCCUACGGGAGGCAGCAGUGGGGAAUAUUGGACCAUGGGCGAAAGCCUGAUCCAGCAAUGCCGCGUGAGUGAUGAAGGCCUUAGGGUUGUAAAGCUCUUUUACCCGGGAUGAUAAUGACAGUACCGGGAGAAUAAGCUCCGGCUAACUCCGUG
This 433-nucleotide ribosomal RNA is filed under the name uncultured bacterium. RNAcentral's name for it is "partial 16S ribosomal RNA". It matches the Rfam family "Bacterial small subunit ribosomal RNA", at positions 29 to 507 of the family's 1533-position model. The record is from RNAcentral.